AACCCCUGCAUUCAAGUUGCCGAUCGGGUAGAGCCGGGCACUCUGGAAGGACUGCCAUCGACAAGAUGGAGGAAGGUGGGGAUGACGUCAAGUCAUCAUGGCCCUUAUGUCCAGGGCGACACACGUGCUACAAUGGCCGGUACAACGGGCAGCGAAGGAGCGAUCCGGAGCGAAUCCUAAAAAGCCGGUCCCAGUUCGGAUUGCAGGCUGAAACUCGCCUACAUGAAGUUGGAGUUGCUAGUAAUCGCGAAUCAGAAUGUCGCGGUGAAUGCGUUCCCGGGUCUU
Molecule: ribosomal RNA, 285 nt
Filed under: uncultured Fusibacter sp.
Lineage: Bacteria; Bacillati; Bacillota; Clostridia; Eubacteriales; Fusibacteraceae
Description: partial 16S ribosomal RNA
Rfam family: Bacterial small subunit ribosomal RNA
Source: RNAcentral